ACAGGGAUUGCCCUAGUAACGGCGAGUGAAGCGGCAACAGCUCAAAUUUGAAAUCUGGCGUCUUUGGCGUCCGAGUUGUAAUUUGCAGAGGGCGCUUUGGCAUUGGCAGCGGUCCAAGUUCCUUGGAACAGGACGUCACAGAGGGUGAGAAUCCCGUACGUGGUCGCUAGCCUUUACCGUGUAAAGCCCCUUCGACGAGUCGAGUUGUUUGGGAAUGCAGCUCUAAAUGGGAGGUAAAUUUCUUCUAAAGCUAAAUACUGGCCAGAGACCGAUAGCGCACAAGUAGAGUGAUCGAAAGAUGAAAAGCACUUUGGAAAGAGAGUUAAAAAGCACGUGAAAUUGUUGAAAGGGAAGCGCUUGCAGCCAGACUUGCCUGUAGUUGCUCAUCCGGGUUUUUACCCGGUGCACUCUUCUACGGGCAGGCCAGCAUCAGUUUGGGCGGUUGGAUAAAGGUCUCUGUCACGUACCUCCUCUCGGGGAGAUCUUAUAGGGGAGACGACAUGCAACCAGCCUGGACUGAGGUCCGCGCAUCUGCUAGGAUGCUGGCGUAAUGGCUGUAAGCGGCCCGUCUUGAAACACGGACCAAGGAGUCUAACAUCUAUGCGAGUGUUUGGGUGUCAAGCCCGAGCGCGUAAUGAAAGUGAACGGAGGUGGGAACCUUUCGGGGUGCACCAUCGACCGAUCCUGAUGUCUUCGGAUGGAUUUGAGUAAGAGCAUAGCUGUUGGGACCCGAAAGAUGGUGAACUAUGCUUGAAUAGGGUGAAGCCAGAGGAAACUCUGGUGGAGGCUCGCAGCGGUUCUGACGUGCAAAUCGAUCGUCAAAUUUGGGCAUAGGGGCGAAAGACUAAUCGAACUAUCUAGUAGCUGGUUCCUGCC
This 876-nucleotide ribosomal RNA is filed under the name Epicoccum nigrum. Its description in RNAcentral is "eukaryotic LSU rRNA". It matches the Rfam family "Eukaryotic large subunit ribosomal RNA", at positions 68 to 962 of the family's 3401-position model. Lineage: Eukaryota; Fungi; Ascomycota; Dothideomycetes; Pleosporales; Didymellaceae. The record is from RNAcentral.